RNAcentral lists this transfer RNA (75 nucleotides) under Desulfovibrio sp. RNAcentral describes it as "tRNA-Pro". It matches the Rfam family "tRNA". Rfam says of the family: Transfer RNA (tRNA) molecules are approximately 80 nucleotides in length. Their secondary structure includes four short double-helical elements and three loops (D, anti-codon, and T loops). The record is from RNAcentral. Lineage: Bacteria; Pseudomonadati; Thermodesulfobacteriota; Desulfovibrionia; Desulfovibrionales; Desulfovibrionaceae.
CGGAGCGUGGCGCAGCGGUAGCGCGCCUGCUUUGGGAGCAGGAAGUCGCGGGUUCGAUCCCCGCCGCUCCGACCA